GGGCAGAUCGAGCAGGUGGUGAGCUCCGCUGACUGUAGAUCAGCCGCCUUUGUGCUGUGGGGGUUCGAUUCCCUCUCUGCCCACCC
Molecule: transfer RNA, 86 nt
Filed under: Chloroflexi bacterium RIFCSPLOWO2_02_FULL_71_16
Lineage: Bacteria; Bacillati; Chloroflexota
Description: tRNA-Tyr
Rfam family: tRNA
About the family: Transfer RNA (tRNA) molecules are approximately 80 nucleotides in length.
Source: RNAcentral